UACAGAGGGGGCAAGCGUUGUUCGGAAUUACUGGGCGUAAAGCGUGCGCAGGCGGCUUGCCAAGUCAGAUGUGAAAGCCCCGGGCUCAACCCGGGAACUGCGUUUGAAACUGGCAGGCUAGAGUUUGGCAGAGGGGGGUGGAAUUCCACGUGUAGCAGUGAAAUGCGUAGAGAUGUGGAGGAACACCGAUGGCGAAGGCAGCCCCCUGGGCCAAAACUGACGCUCAGGCACGAAAGCGUGGGGAGCAAACAGG
RNAcentral lists this ribosomal RNA (253 nucleotides) under uncultured bacterium. RNAcentral describes it as "partial 16S ribosomal RNA". It matches the Rfam family "Bacterial small subunit ribosomal RNA", at positions 524 to 776 of the family's 1533-position model. The record is from RNAcentral.